RNAcentral lists this ribosomal RNA (468 nucleotides) under uncultured bacterium. Its description in RNAcentral is "partial 16S ribosomal RNA". It matches the Rfam family "Bacterial small subunit ribosomal RNA", at positions 28 to 507 of the family's 1533-position model. The record is from RNAcentral.
GACGAACGCUGGCGGCGUGCUUAACACAUGCAAGUCGAACGGAAAGGCCCUGCUUUUGUGGGGUGCUCGAGUGGCGAACGGGUGAGUAACACGUGAGUAACCUGCCCUUGACUUUGGGAUAACUUCAGGAAACUGGGGCUAAUACCGGAUAGGAGCUCCUGCUGCAUGGUGGGGGUUGGAAAGUUUCGGCGGUUGGGGAUGGACUCGCGGCUUAUCAGCUUGUUUGUGGGGUAGUGGCUUACCAAGGCUUUGACGGGUAGCCGGCCUGAGAGGGUGAACGGCCACAUUGGGACUGAGAUACGGCCCAGACUCCUACGGGAGGCAGCAGUGGGGAAUAUUGCACAAUGGGCGGAAGCCUGAUGCAGCAACGCCGCGUGCGGGAUGACGGCCUUCGGGUUGUAAACCGCUUUCGCCUGUGACGAAGCGUGAGUGACGGUAAUGGGUAAAGAAGCACCGGCUAACUACGUG